RNAcentral lists this long non-coding RNA (1116 nucleotides) under Lonchura striata (white-rumped munia). RNAcentral's name for it is "domestica (Bengalese finch) lncRNA (ENSLSDG00000001905.1)". Lineage: Eukaryota; Metazoa; Chordata; Aves; Passeriformes; Estrildidae. The record is from RNAcentral.
GGGAAACUCUGCGGAGGGAUGGGGACAGCUGGGGGUCCUGGCAGGAUGUUGAGGGCUUCUGUGCGGUGUUUGCAGGGUGUUGGUGUUGGAGGUGUGUUGGGGAAGGAGCUGUCUGGGAGGUGAGAGGUCUAGGCUGGAAUUUGAGUCCAUUUGAAGGCAGCAUCUGUGGUUUGGCACAGCUUUCCUUAUGGGACGCAGAAAAAAUAUCUGUGACGGCUUCUGUUCAUGGUCCUGAUUCUGCUGCAGGGAACAAGAGGGGAGAGCUGUACUUUAUUGGCCACUUAGAUCUCUAUACCGGGGCAGGGUUAACCAUUUUCCCAUCUACUCAUUGUUGCCAGCAGUUGCUCCAGGUGUUCCAGCCAACAGCCCCUGCAGGCAGGAGCACAGCCCCCAGUGCCCGUGGGUUUGGCUCCCUCUGGCACAGAAGCCCCCAGGGACACAGGUCUCUGGGGCAGGAGAUGGCACCAGCCCUGCCAGGGCUUCGGGGGUGGCAGGUCUGCUUGGGCAGGGACUCUGCCUCACCUGCGGGUGUCAGCGCUCCCCAGGCCCCAGGGCUCAGAGCAGCAUUCCUGCCCUGGCCCAGAGUUCCUUGUGAGUGCCACACCCAUGGGUUUGGGAUGGCCACGAGGCGGGACGUGUCCCGAGGAGGCCGUGGCAGCUUCUGUGGAAGGCCCUGUGCCCUUCCCAGCGCGGCUGCGUCGGCAGCCCUGGGGGCUCCUUCUGCUGCCCUGAGCCCGCAGAGCAGGGCAGCGUUUGCUGAUGGUGUGAGCCCUUCCUAAAGAUCCUGUUGGGCUGUCUCAGACACUUGAGGCCAGGGAUUCCUUCCAACCUGGGCCACUUUGGGUGGGCAGGGGGCAGCCCCAGCACAGGGGGCAGUGUUUCCAAGGGCCCUUUGUGACACAUGCAGCAUGGAAUAGAGCCCGGUGUCCAAGGGCCCUUGCUGACACGGUGCAGCAUGGAAUGGAGCCCGGCGCCCAAGGGCCCUUUGUGACACAUGCUGACAUAGGAGCUGGAAGUGGCAAGAGCACGCCACAGUGCUCGGAGCAGGCGAAGGGACAGGACGGGACAGAGCGGUGCUGUGAGGAGUCCCGGCACAGCGCGCUCGUUCCUGCCCUA